RNAcentral lists this transfer RNA (67 nucleotides) under Rossia sp. GS-2021. RNAcentral's name for it is "tRNA-His". Lineage: Eukaryota; Metazoa; Mollusca; Cephalopoda; Sepiida; Sepiolidae. The record is from RNAcentral.
GUAAAAUUAGUUUAAAUUAAAAAUAGUAAAUUGUGGUUUUACAGUUGUAUAUAUUUUACAUUUUACU